UACGUAGGGUGCGAGCGUUAAUCGGAAUUACUGGGCGUAAAGCGUGCGCAGGCGGUUUUGUAAGCCAGAUGUGAAAUCCCCGGGCUUAACCUGGGAACUGCAUUUGUGACUGCAUAGCUAGAGUACGGUAGAGGGGGAUGGAAUUCCGCGUGUAGCAGUGAAAUGCGUAGAUAUGCGGAGGAACACCGAUGGCGAAGGCAAUCCCCUGGACCUGUACUGACGCUCAUGCACGAAAGCGUGGGGAGCAAACAGG
RNAcentral lists this ribosomal RNA (253 nucleotides) under uncultured bacterium. RNAcentral's name for it is "partial 16S ribosomal RNA". It matches the Rfam family "Bacterial small subunit ribosomal RNA", at positions 524 to 776 of the family's 1533-position model. The record is from RNAcentral.